AUGAUUCUUACUGUGGGCUUUAGCUUUUUGUUUUUCUACAGGGGCACGCUGUGUGACAAAGUAACCCAGAGUUCCCCGGACCAGACGGUGGCGAGUGGCAGUGAGGUGGUACUGCUCUGCACUUACGACACUGUAUAUUCAAAUCCAGAUUUAUUCUGGUACCGGAUAAGGCCAGAUUAUUCCUUUCAGUUUGUCUUUUAUGGGGAUAACAGCAGAUCAGAAGGUGCAGAUUUUACUCAAGGACGGUUUUCUGUGAAACACAUUCUGACCCAGAAAGCCUUUCACUUGGUGAUCUCUCCAGUAAGGACUGAAGACAGUGCCACUUACUACUGUGCCUUUAG
This is a non-coding RNA of Homo sapiens (human), 341 nucleotides long. Lineage: Eukaryota; Metazoa; Chordata; Mammalia; Primates; Hominidae. The record is from the annotation of a RefSeq genome assembly.